GGAGGUGUCGCCUAGCCCGGUUUAUGGCGCCCGCCUGCUAAGCGGGUUGAGGAUAAAACCUCUCGCGAGUUCAAAUCUCGCCACCUCCGCCA
Molecule: transfer RNA, 92 nt
Filed under: Propionicimonas sp.
Lineage: Bacteria; Bacillati; Actinomycetota; Actinomycetes; Propionibacteriales; Nocardioidaceae
Also listed under: 1 other name
Description: tRNA-Ser
Rfam family: tRNA
About the family: Transfer RNA (tRNA) molecules are approximately 80 nucleotides in length.
Source: RNAcentral